RNAcentral lists this transfer RNA (57 nucleotides) under Ovis aries (sheep). It matches the Rfam family "tRNA", at positions 8 to 63 of the family's 71-position model. Rfam says of the family: Transfer RNA (tRNA) molecules are approximately 80 nucleotides in length. Their secondary structure includes four short double-helical elements and three loops (D, anti-codon, and T loops). Further hydrogen bonds mediate the characteristic L-shaped molecular structure. tRNAs have two regions of fundamental functional importance: the anti-codon, which is responsible for specific mRNA codon recognition, and the 3' end, to which the tRNAs corresponding amino acid is attached (by aminoacyl-tRNA synthetases). tRNAs cope with the degeneracy of the genetic code in two manners: having more than one tRNA (with a specific anti-codon) for a particular amino acid; and 'wobble' base-pairing, i.e. permitting non-standard base-pairing at the 3rd anti-codon position. The record is from Rfam by way of RNAcentral. Lineage: Eukaryota; Metazoa; Chordata; Mammalia; Artiodactyla; Bovidae.
UGGCUCAGAUAGUAAAGCAUCUGCCUGCAGUGCAGGAGACCCAGGUUCGAUCCCUGG